UAAAUAAAAAAAAAAAAAAAAAAAAA
Molecule: ribosomal RNA, 26 nt
Filed under: Mus musculus (house mouse)
Lineage: Eukaryota; Metazoa; Chordata; Mammalia; Rodentia; Muridae
Also listed under: 1 other name
Description: piRNA piR-mmu-68063221
Source: RNAcentral